AAGAGUGUAGGGCGUGGUGUAGGCAAAUCCGCACCACAUGAGCCUGAGACUUGACGGGUAGCCGAAUGAGGCGAAAUGGAUGAUCCUAUGCUGCCGAGAAAAGCCUCUAGCGAGCUCCGAGCGGCCCGUACCCCAAACCGACUCAGGUGGUCAGGUAGAGAAUACCAAGGCGAUCGAGUGAACCGUGGUUAAGGAACUCGGCAAAAUGCCCCCGUAACUUUGGGAUAAGGGGGACCU
RNAcentral lists this ribosomal RNA (237 nucleotides) under Tetraselmis striata. RNAcentral describes it as "partial Bacterial large subunit ribosomal RNA". It matches the Rfam family "Bacterial large subunit ribosomal RNA", at positions 1514 to 1753 of the family's 2925-position model. Lineage: Eukaryota; Viridiplantae; Chlorophyta; Chlorodendrophyceae; Chlorodendrales; Chlorodendraceae. The record is from RNAcentral.